GAUGAAGAACGUAGUGAAAUGCGAUAAGUAAUGUGAAUUGCAGAAUUCAGUGAAUCAUCGAAUCUUUGAACGCACCUUGCGCCCUUUGGCUAUUCCAGAGGGCAUGCCUGUUUGAGUAUCAUGAACACCUCAACUCUCAUGGUUCUGCCAUGAUGAGCUUGGACUUUGGAGGUCUUGCUGGCCCCUGUGGUCAGCUCCUCUCAAAUGGAUCAGCUUGCCAGUGUUUGGUGGCAUCACAGGUGUGAUAACUAUCUACGCUUGUGGUUUUCCACCAGGUAACCUUCAGUGAUGGAGGUUCGCUGGAGCUCAUAAACGUCUCUCCUCAGCGAGGACAGCUUCUUGAAUGUUUGAUCUCAAAUCAGGUAGGGCUACCCGCUGAACUUAAGCAUAUCAAUAAGCGGAGGA
This 405-nucleotide unclassified non-coding RNA is filed under the name soil metagenome. RNAcentral describes it as "partial contains 5.8S ribosomal RNA, internal transcribed spacer 2, and large subunit ribosomal RNA". The stretch from base 1 to 121 matches the Rfam family "5.8S ribosomal RNA", at positions 35 to 154 of the family's 154-position model. The record is from RNAcentral.